AUGAACGCUGGCGGCGUGCUUCACACAUGCCAGUCGCACGAAGCAUUUAAGACAGAUUCCUUCGGUUUGAAGUCUUUUAUGACUGAGUGGCGGACGGGUGAGUAACGCGUGGGUAACCUGCCUCAUACAGGGGGAUAGCAGCUGGAAACGGCUGGUAAUACCGCAUAAGCGCACAGUACCACAUGGUACAGUGUGAAAAACUCCGGUGGUAUGAGAUGGACCCGCGUCUGAUUAGCUUGUUGGCGGGGUAACGGCCCACCAAGGCGACGAUCAGUAGCCGACCUGAGAGGGUGACCGGCCACAUUGGGACUGAGACACGGCCCAGACUCCUACGGGAGGCAGCAGUGGGGAAUAUUGCACAAUGGAGGAAACUCUGAUGCAGCGACGCCGCGUGAGUGAAGAAGUAGUUCGCUAUGUAAAGCUCUAUCAGCAGGGAAGAUAGUGACGGUACCUGACUAAGAAGCUCCGGCUAAAUACGUG
Molecule: ribosomal RNA, 480 nt
Filed under: uncultured bacterium
Lineage: Bacteria
Description: partial 16S ribosomal RNA
Rfam family: Bacterial small subunit ribosomal RNA
Source: RNAcentral